RNAcentral lists this non-coding RNA (25 nucleotides) under Rattus norvegicus (Norway rat). The record is from RNAcentral. Lineage: Eukaryota; Metazoa; Chordata; Mammalia; Rodentia; Muridae.
AUUUGGAUGAACACAAGGUCUUAGU